CAAGGUCCAGGUGUUAUUUGCUGCCAAAGCCUCAAAUUCUUUGGCCAUGGCAUCCUGCCAAGAAGGAUCAGAGGCUGUCUGCUUGUAUGAUGUAGGCUCAACCAGUGCAGUGCUAACAAUGCUAUUGCAGCAAGUGGAAAAAGAACCGAUGCCAGAAAUGGAAGGAGGGAGGUCACAGAUGUAUUGAUUAAGAUGAGCAGGAGUGGUGUGGU
Molecule: long non-coding RNA, 212 nt
Filed under: Nicotiana benthamiana
Lineage: Eukaryota; Viridiplantae; Streptophyta; Magnoliopsida; Solanales; Solanaceae
Description: long non-coding RNA (NBEN_LNC000396)
Source: RNAcentral